GAGUUUGAUCGUGGCUCAGGAUGAACGCUGGCGGCGUGCCUAACACAUGCAAGUCGAACGGAGUUCUUAAGGAAUGCGGCUUCGGCCAAAUGACUUUUGAACUUAGUGGCGGACGGGUGAGUAACGCGUGAGCAACCUGCCUUUCAGAGGGGGAUAACAUUUGGAAACAGAUGCUAAUACCGCAUAAGAUUACAGUACCGCAUGAUACAGUGAUCAAAGGAGCAAUCCGCUGAAAAGAUGGGCUCGCGUCCGAUUAGAUAGUUGGUGAGGUAGCGGCUCACCAAGUCGACGAUCGGUAGCCGGACUGAGAGGUUGAACGGCCACAUUGGGACUGAGACACGGCCCAGACUCCUACGGGAGGCAGCAGUGGGGAACAUUGCACAAUGGGCGAAAGCCUGAUGCAGCAACGCCGCGUGAGGGAAGACGGUUUCGGAUUGUAAACCUCUGUUUUCGGUGACGAACAAAUGACGGUAACCGAGUAGGAAGCCACGGCUAACUACGUGCCAGCAGCCGAC
This 515-nucleotide ribosomal RNA is filed under the name uncultured microorganism. RNAcentral describes it as "bacterial SSU rRNA". It matches the Rfam family "Bacterial small subunit ribosomal RNA", at positions 9 to 518 of the family's 1533-position model. The record is from RNAcentral.